GAAAUGCGAUAAGUAGUGUGAAUUGCAGAAUUCAGUGAAUCAUCGAAUCUUUGAACGCACAUUGCGCCCCUUGGUAUUCCAUGGGGCAUGCCUGUUCGAGCGUCAUUUGUACCCUCAAGCUCUGCUUGGUGUUGGGUGUUUGUCCCCGUCUCCGCGCGUGGACUCGCCCCAAAGUGAUUGGCAGCCGGCGUACUGGUCCCGGAGCGCAGCACAUGUCGCGCAAACGAGUGCCUUGGUACGGCGGCGUCCAUAAGCCCCUCUCUCACGCUCUUGACCUCGGAUCAGGUAGGGAUUCCCGCUGAACUUAAGC
Molecule: unclassified non-coding RNA, 310 nt
Filed under: plant metagenome
Description: partial contains 5.8S ribosomal RNA, internal transcribed spacer 2, and large subunit ribosomal RNA
Rfam family: 5.8S ribosomal RNA (bases 1-105)
Source: RNAcentral